Molecule: ribosomal RNA, 501 nt
Filed under: uncultured bacterium
Lineage: Bacteria
Description: bacterial SSU rRNA
Rfam family: Bacterial small subunit ribosomal RNA
Source: RNAcentral
GAUGAACGCUGGCGGCGUGCUUAACACAUGCAAGUCGAGCGAAGCGAUUUAAAUGAGACUUCGGUGGAUUUUAAAUUGACUGAGCGGCGGACGGGUGAGUAACGCGUAUCCAACCUGCCCACCACUUGGGGAUAACCUUGCGAAAGUAAGACUAAUACCCAAUGACGUCUCUAGAAGACAUCUGAAAGAGAUUAAAGAUUUAUCGGUGAUGGAUGGGGAUGCGUCUGAUUAGCUUGUUGGCGGGGUAACGGCCCACCAAGGCAACGAUCAGUAGGGGUUCUGAGAGGAAGGUCCCCCACAUUGGAACUGAGACACGGUCCAAACUCCUACGGGAGGCAGCAGUGAGGAAUAUUGGUCAAAUGGACGAGAGUCUGAACCAGCCAAGUAGCGUGCAGGAUGACGGCCCUAUGGGUUGUAAACUGCUUUAUAAGGGAAUAAAGUGAGUCUCGUGAGACUUUUUGCAUGUACCUUAUGAAUAAGGACCGGCUAAUUCCGUGCCAG